RNAcentral lists this transfer RNA (72 nucleotides) under Ameiurus melas (black bullhead). RNAcentral describes it as "tRNA-Pro". The record is from RNAcentral. Lineage: Eukaryota; Metazoa; Chordata; Actinopteri; Siluriformes; Ictaluridae.
GGCUCGUUGGUCUAGGGGUAUGAUUCUCGCUUUGGGUGUGAGCGGUCCUGGGUUUGACUUCCAGGCGAGCCC